GAAGGCUGGCGGACGUAGCUCUCGCCAACCCGGUCAGGUCCGGAAGGAAGCAGCCGUAACGAGUUUUUUGCUGCGGGUCGUUUCAGUCUUCCAC
This 94-nucleotide signal recognition particle RNA is filed under the name Hyphococcus flavus. Its description in RNAcentral is "signal recognition particle sRNA small type". It matches the Rfam family "Bacterial small signal recognition particle RNA". Rfam says of the family: The signal recognition particle (SRP) is a universally conserved ribonucleoprotein involved in the co-translational targeting of proteins to membranes. Archaeal SRP consists of a 7S RNA and homologues of the eukaryotic SRP19 and SRP54 proteins. The record is from RNAcentral. Lineage: Bacteria; Pseudomonadati; Pseudomonadota; Alphaproteobacteria; Parvularculales; Parvularculaceae.